ACCGUAAUGUCUAGUAUAUACGUGUCGUGAAAAAAACCGUGCGGGCUGACUUGACUGUGUUUUUCGAAGUGGAGGCUGGCUUGACCGCAGCACUAGUUCAGUCUGCACACUCUUCGGUCGUUCACUCAAACCCUGACAUGAAGACACUAGUCGUAGGAGUUGGUGGGGUGACCAAUGGGGGAAAAUCUACUCUUUCCAAUAGUUUACACCAGCAGAUACCCAACAGCUGUCUCAUUGCACAGGAUGCAUAUUUUAAGGAUGAUUCUGUGGUACCAGUGGACAGCAAUGGGUUCAAGCAAUAUGACAUGCUCGACGCGCUCCACAUGGACACGAUGAUGAGCGAGGUCGACUCGUGGCGAAGAGAUCCUGAGGUGUUCCUGAGGCGGCGAGGCCUGAACCCAGAGCGCACAACACCACCGAAGGACGAGGAGGUGUAUGUGCUGAUAGUGGAGGGCUUCCUUAUUUUCAACCACCGGCCUCUGAAUGAUCUGUUUUACAAAAGAUACUUGAUGGAAAUACCUUACGAUGUCUGCAAAAGGAGACGAAGUUCGAGGGUGUACACGCCCCCCGAUCCUCCUGGGUACUUUGAUGGACACGUGUGGCCGAUGUACCUGAAAAACCGUCAGGAGAUGGAGAGUUCAGUGUCUGGAAUUGAUUUCUUUCUCAGUAUUUCUGGAUGGACUGAAGCCAAAGGAAGAACUGCUGGCUGAUGUCUAUGAAGAUGUUUGUCAGGAAAUAGAAAGGUUGAGGGAGAAAGACUGACCUGGUCCCAAGUUAAUUCGUCUGCCCUGACGGUGACGGCUGCGCCAAUGGCAGGAAAGUACAUCUCGUCAGGAAAGUACAUCUCGUAGACUAAUGUGUGACUGAAGGGGCCAAACCAAGUGUUAAUGUCGAUGUGAUACUUAGAAUAUGGCUCAAAUGAUUUUAUUUUGAAAGCUAUGCAUGAGAAUUAACUGAUGCAGUGUUUUGAGUAUUAUGAUGCACUCUGAGAAACCUAAAAAUGUGACGUUUUUCACUAGUUGAUGCUGAAUACAAUCGACACAAAGUUGACUGAUGUGACAUCUGACAAUGUUUUGUAUCUCACUGCGUUGUUUUUAUAAUGAUGUAUGAAGGAUCUUUUUUAAUUUUUUAUUUAACUUGUGAUGUAACUCCAGCUAAACAAAUACAUAAAGUGUGCAUCAUUGUCAAAGAGCGGUUUUUAAUCAUAUUGGAUAUAACAGAUAUUAAACAAUGAUAAUUGCAUGCUUUUUAGGUUUGGUGAGCAUCAUUCUUUUGUUAUAUAUUAUUUGCAAAAAGACGUGAAUUUGUACCAUUGGUGGCAUUUUGUCUCUACCUGGUGGUUCGUUCUGAUAAACUGGAGGCGGACGAGUGACCAACUUUAAAUUGCUCUCGGCCCUCUUAUCACCUGAAUACUUUGUCCAACUCUCAUCACCAGCAAAUGAUAAGGAAAGACACAUCACAGCAGAAAAUCACACGUUAACAUUUUUUUUUAAAUGUCAUUAUCAUGAAACCAAUUCAAAUAAAAUGUGUGCCUAAUCGACAUGCCCCACAUUUAUUUUAGGAAUAUGCACCAUGUGAACAUAAUAUUAACACAAAUAAUACUAAAUUAUCUCCUUACUUGUGACAUGCAGCGAAUCUGGGGCACCGGGGGCCCGUGGCGGUGUGUAAAUUAAGUUGUUUCCCACUAUGCCCACUUAAUAAUCCUUUGUUCACAAGGCUAGUCCUGAACCUUUUUUUAGAAAAUGUGGCUCCAGCCUGCGCAACACGCUCCCCUCCUUUAAAAUCCUAUAAAUAGAAAAGCCUGCUUUCCUUUGCAACCUGAAACCUGUUUGACAACUCAAAUGCCGUUGUGAACCAAGAGCUCACGUGUAAUUCAUUUGUAAGUUUGCAUAACCGCCCUCUGACUAAUGAAGCUGGGAUUGUUUCCCAUCGCACUAAAUGCUAGAAAGUUUUGCCAAAAAGUCCGCGGUGCUGUCGACAGAACAUUUCUGUUGACCUCAGCAGCCAACUCGCAUGACCUGAAUGUGCAGUAGAGGAGUCAUCACAUGUAAAUAUGGACAUUCCUCACUUCCCUGUACUGACUAUAUCCUCUUCUAACUCCACAUAUAUACAUCUGCUGCAGCUUCAUAAGCCGACACUCUCUCAACAGCCUUGUACCUGAUAGUCAUGUCUAACGCGGGAUCUUCAGCAUACGUGUGUUGGCUUUUUGCCUCCUGCUUGUGUUGCCACAACGCAAUGCCGACUAGACUCAACCAAGAGGCUGUGAACGACAGACCUGUGAUCGGUAUUUUGACUCAGAUAGUUUCAGACGAAGUCAUGAAACCGUUCGGGAGGACCUACAUACCUUCCUCCUAUGUGAAGUUCAUUGAGUCUGGGGGCAGCAGAGUGAUGCCUAUCAGAUUGACUCUUAAAACCACUGAAUAUGAAAACAUCUUCAGGAACAUCAACGGCUUGCUCCUCAUCGGGGGGGCAGCAGAUCUGGAGACGUCCGACUUUGCCAGGGUGGCGAAGAUCUUUUACAGACUCGCUCUGACGGCCAAUGACGAAGGGGACGUCUUCCCCAUCUGGGGUACAUGCAUGGGCAUGCAACUGCUGACGGUGCUGGUGGCCGGAGAAAAUCAGCUUGAAGCGACCCCAGCAGAGAACGUAGCGCUGCCCCUGGACCUGACCACUGAGGCCGGCUCUAGUAGGAUGUUUGAGGGUUUCCCCAACAAUCUCAUGAAGGCUUUGACCCAAGAACCGCUCACUGGCAAUUUCCACCGCUAUGGAGUCGCAGUGAAGACCUUCCAGGACAAUGAGAGGCUGCAGAGCUUCUUCUCCCUGCUGUCGACAAACGUUGCAAAGAACGGAGUCCACUUUGUAUCAACCAUAGAAGGUAAAACCUAUCCCUUCUAUGGAGUGCAGUGGCACCCGGAGGUGAACCGUUUCCAGUGGCAGAGGAAGCAGAACUACCCUCACUCUGCUCACGCUGUUCAGUUGUCGUCUCUGCUGGCUGAGUUUUUUGUCAAUGAAGGAAGGAGAAGUUUACAUCAGUUUGACAAUCCUGAGGAAGAAGCCUCGUCACUGAUUUACAACGACACGCCCGUCUUCGCCGGGAACUUCACCGGAUAUGAACAGCUCUACUUCUUCUGAAAUCCUCGAGCAGUUGUCUGUGCGUCACUCAGCGUGAACAACACAGCACUUUAUAUAUAGUCUCAGGGGGGCAAAGCUAAUAUGUGUAUAUGCUGUUAUUGUGCUUAUUUGCAUUAAUAAACUUUAGUUGUAGUCA
Molecule: RNA transcript, 3268 nt
Organism: Cyclopterus lumpus (lumpfish)
Lineage: Eukaryota; Metazoa; Chordata; Actinopteri; Perciformes; Cyclopteridae
Gene: gghl
Gene name: gamma-glutamyl hydrolase
Exons: 16
Source: RefSeq, a predicted model, not a curated record